AACGAACGCUGGCGGCGCGCUUAACACAUGCAAGUCGAACGAGAAGGCGUAGCAAUACGCUUGUACAGUGGCGAACGGGUGAGUAAUACGUGGGCGACCUACCCUCGAGUGGGGAAUAACCCGCCGAAAGGCGGGCUAAUGCCGCGUACGCUUCCAUCUUUAUGGAGGUGGAAGGAAAGCCGUGCCGUGGGCACGGCGCUCAAGGAUGGGCUCACGUCCUAUCAGCUUGUUGGUAGGGAACGGCCUACCAAGGCUCCGACGGGUAGCUGGUCUGAGAGGACGAUCAGCCACACUGGCACUGCGACACGGGCCAGACUCCUACGGGAGGCAGCAGUGAGGAAUAUUGCGCAAUGGGCGAAAGCCUGACGCAGCGACGCCGCGUGGGGGAGUGAAGGGU
RNAcentral lists this ribosomal RNA (397 nucleotides) under uncultured bacterium. RNAcentral describes it as "bacterial SSU rRNA". It matches the Rfam family "Bacterial small subunit ribosomal RNA", at positions 29 to 416 of the family's 1533-position model. The record is from RNAcentral.